GGAAAGGCGCGCGAUACAGGGUGACAGCCCCGUACACAAAAAUGCACAUGCUGUGAGCUCGAUGAGUAGGGCGGGACACGUGGUAUCCUGUCUGAAUAUGGGGGGACCAUCCUCCAAGGCUAAAUACUCCUGACUGACCGAUAGUGAACCAGUACCGUGAGGGAAAGGCGAAAAGAACCCCGGCGAGGGGAGUGAAAAAGAACCUGAAACCGUGUACGUACAAGCAGUGGGAGCACGCUUAGGCGUGUGACUGCGUACCUUUUGUAUAAUGGGUCAGCGACUUAUAUUCUGUAGCAAGGUUAACCGAAUAGGGGAGCCGAAGGGAAACCGAGUCUUAACUGGGCGUUAAGUUGCAGGGUAUAGACCCGAAACCCGGUGAUCUAGCCAUGGGCAGGUUGAAGGUUGGGUAACACUAACUGGAGGACCGAACCGACUAAUGUUGAAAAAUUAGCGGAUGACUUGUGGCUGGGGGUGAAAGGCCAAUCAAACCGGGAGAUAGCUGGUUCUCCCCGAAAGCUAUUUAGGUAGCGCCUCGUGAAUUCAUCUCCGGGGGUAGAGCACUGUUUCGGCAAGGGGGUCAUCCCGACUUACCAACCCGAUGCAAACUGCGAAUACCGGAGAAUGUUAUCACGGGAGACACACGGCGGGUGCUAACGUCCGUCGUGAAGAGGGAAACAACCCAGACCGCCAGCUAAGGUCCCAAAGUCAUGGUUAAGUGGGAAACGAUGUGGGAAGGCCCAGACAGCCAGGAUGUUGGCUUAGAAGCAGCCAUCAUUUAAAGAAAGCGUAAUAGCUCACUGGUCGAGUCGGCCUGCGCGGAAGAUGUAACGGGGCUAAACCAUGCACCGAAGCUGCGGCAGCGACGCUUAUGCGUUGUUGGGUAGGGGAGCGUUCUGUAAGCCUGUGAAGGUGUGCUGUGAGGCAUGCUGGAGGUAUCAGAAGUGCGAAUGCUGACAUAAGUAACGAUAAAGCGGGUGAAAAGCCCGCUCGCCGGAAGACCAAGGGUUCCUGUCCAA
Molecule: ribosomal RNA, 1016 nt
Filed under: Escherichia coli
Lineage: Bacteria; Pseudomonadati; Pseudomonadota; Gammaproteobacteria; Enterobacterales; Enterobacteriaceae
Description: partial 23S ribosomal RNA
Rfam family: Bacterial large subunit ribosomal RNA
Source: RNAcentral